AGAGUUUGAUCAUGGCUCAGAGCGAACGCUGGCGGCAGGCUUAACACAUGCAAGUCGAGCGGGCGUAGCAAUACGUCAGCGGCAGACGGGUGAGUAACGCGUGGGAACAUACCUUUUGGUUCGGAACAACCCGGGGAAACUUGGGCUAAUACCGGAUAAGCCCUUACGGGGAAAGAUUUAUCGCCGAAAGAUUGGCCCGCGUCUGAUUAGCUAGUUGGUGAGGUAACGGCUCACCAAGGCGACGAUCAGUAGCUGGUCUGAGAGGAUGAUCAGCCACAUUGGGACUGAGACACGGCCCAAACUCCUACGGGAGGCAGCAGUGGGGAAUAUUGGACAAUGGGCGCAAGCCUGAUCCAGCCAUGCCGCGUGAGUGAUGAAGGCCCUAGGGUUGUAAAGCUCUUUUGUGCGGGAAGAUAAUGACGGUACCGCAAGAAUAAGCCCCGGCUAACUUCGUGCCAGCAGCCGCGGUAAUACGAAGGGGGCUAGCGUUGCUCGGAAUCACUGGGCGUAAAGGGUGCGUAGGCGGGUCUUUAAGUCAGGGGUGAAAUCCUGGAGCUCAACUCCAGAACUGCCUUUGAUACUGAAGAUCUUGAGUUCGGGAGAGGUGAGUGGAACUGCGAGUGUAGAGGUGAAAUUCGUAGAUAUUCGCAAGAACACCAGUGGCGAAGGCGGCUCACUGGCCCGAUACUGACGCUGAGGCACGAAAGCGUGGGGAGCAAACAGGAUUAGAUACCCUAGUAGUCC
This 744-nucleotide ribosomal RNA is filed under the name uncultured bacterium. RNAcentral's name for it is "bacterial SSU rRNA". It matches the Rfam family "Bacterial small subunit ribosomal RNA", at positions 8 to 796 of the family's 1533-position model. The record is from RNAcentral.